RNAcentral lists this ribosomal RNA (1227 nucleotides) under uncultured Clavulinaceae. RNAcentral describes it as "eukaryotic LSU rRNA". The stretch from base 629 to 1227 matches the Rfam family "Eukaryotic large subunit ribosomal RNA", at positions 1 to 599 of the family's 3401-position model. The record is from RNAcentral. Lineage: Eukaryota; Fungi; Basidiomycota; Agaricomycetes; Cantharellales; Hydnaceae.
AGGAUCAUUAACGAAUUGUAACGGGGGGUUGAUGCUGGAAGCCAUUUUUCUUUGGUUGCAUGUGCUCGCCCCCUAACAGUUUUCAUCCAAAUUCCACCUGUGCACAUUUCGGGAGGGUCUCUGAGUUUGAUUGCCUGCUGUUCGCCGCCAGGUUUUCUUCUUCGGGGGUUCCUUCCUCUCCUCAUUAUACACCGCUUUCGAAAUAUUGAACGUGAUUGUGCCGCAAGGCCUAUGUCGCAAUACAACUUUUAACAACGGAUCUCUUGGCUCUCGCAUCGAUGAAGAACGCAGCGAAAUGCGAUAAGUAAUGUGAAUUGCAGAAUUCAGUGAAUCAUCGAAUCUUUGAACGCACCUUGCGCUCCCUGGUAUUCCGGGGAGCACGCCUGUUCGAGUGUCGUGAAAUCCUCAAGCUUGGGAUGCCUUUUCGUCUCAAGCUUGGUUAAUUGGGCUCUGCUGUGUGUUGCCCCGCCCGGGGGAACAGCUGGCCUUAAAAUCAUUAGCUGAUCCUUAUGUUGUGGCGUUGGUUCUACUCAGCGUGAUAAUGAAUCUGACCGCUGAGGGACAUCUUUCGGGGUGGCCAAUUCUCAUCUGGGUUGCUUCUAAUUUGGCUUUUACGCAUAUUCUGUUUUGACCUCGAAUCAGGUGGGACUACCCGCUGAACUUAAGCAUAUCAAUAAGCGGAGGAAAAGAAACUAACAAGGAUUCCCCUAGUAACGGCGAGUGAAGCGGGAAGAGCUCAAAUUUAAAAUCUGGCGGUCUUUGAUUGCCCGAAUUGUAAUCUAGAGAAGUGUUUUCCGCGCUGGACUGUGUACAAGUUUCCUGGAUACGGAACAUCAUAGAGGGUGAGAAUCCCGUCCUUGACACAGACUACCAGUGCUUUGUGAUGCGCUCUCGACGAGUCGAGUUGUUUGGGAUUGCAGCUCAAAAUGGGAGGUAAAUUCCUUCUAAAGCUAAAUAUUGGCGAGAGACCGAUAGCGAACAAGUACCGUGAGGGAAAGAUGAAAAGCACUUUGGAAAGAGAGUUAAACAGUACGUGAAAUUGUUAAAAGGGAAACGCUUGAAGUCAGUCAUGUUUGCUUGGAUUCAGCCUUACUUCGGUUUGGUGCAUUUCCUUGCUGACGGGCCAGCGUCCAUGUUGUUUGCCGGAGAAGGGGUGAGGGAAUGUGGCUCCUUCGGGAGUGUUAUAGCCUUCAUUCGCAUGCGGGGAGCGAUAUGGAGUGAUACAGC